CCUCAGCUAGCUCAGUCAGUAGAGCUUGAGACUCUUAAUCUCAGGGUCAUGGUUUGAGCUCCACGUUGGGGG
Molecule: transfer RNA, 72 nt
Filed under: Mesocricetus auratus (golden hamster)
Lineage: Eukaryota; Metazoa; Chordata; Mammalia; Rodentia; Cricetidae
Rfam family: tRNA
About the family: Transfer RNA (tRNA) molecules are approximately 80 nucleotides in length. Their secondary structure includes four short double-helical elements and three loops (D, anti-codon, and T loops).
Source: Rfam by way of RNAcentral